ACACAAUCAUCGAUAGUCUCUGC
This 23-nucleotide non-coding RNA is filed under the name Arabidopsis thaliana (thale cress). Lineage: Eukaryota; Viridiplantae; Streptophyta; Magnoliopsida; Brassicales; Brassicaceae. The record is from RNAcentral.